GUAUAAGUAUGCUAGUUUACAUGUACAGAAUGCUAGUGUAUAAGUAUGCUAGUUUGUGUGUUAGAAUGCUAGAGUAUAAGUAUGCUAGUUUAUAUGUACAGAAUGCUAGUGUAUAAGUAUGCUAGUUUAUAUGUACAGAAUGCUAGUGUAUAAGUAUGCUAGUUUAUAUGUACAGAAUGCUAGUGUAUAAGUAUGCUAGUUUAUAUGUACAGAAUGCUAGUGUAUAAGUAUGCUAGUUUGUGUGCUAGAAUGCUAGUGUAUAAGUAUGCUAGUUUAUAUGUACAGAAUGCUAGUGUAUAAGUAUGCUAGCUUGUUAGUACAGCACAAACACAUGACUUGUCACCAUGGGAAUCUGUGAUAAUCCCUUUGCUUUUUUUUUUUUAAAUGAAGUCCAACGUAAUUGCAGUUUUCAUGACUAACUUUUAAAGCUCUCUCUUUUUUCACGUUUCUAUUUUUUGUUCCUCGUUUUGCUUCUUUGCAUAUUUACUUCUCUCUCCGACACUUUUCUUUCCCUGCGUGAUCUGUUUUUCCUGUGCUCAUUUCCCCACUCUUCAUUCCUCCGUCUCCCUCUCCGUCUCUCCGUCCUUCUCCUCGACCCCGUGCAGUGUUUUAUCUGCGUAUCUGUUUAGCGCAUCGUUAAGCUUCCCUCUCUCUCGCUGGGGGUUUGUGCAGUUUCUCAGCAGCGGGCCACCGGGGCGGCCGUUAAAACUCUGCAGUAACACCGAGCCCUGCCGAGCCCAGUGUGGAGCACUGACACUGCUUUCAGAUAAUAAGGAAUAAAUCACUCGGUCUCAUGCUGCUGGUGGAAAAUAAUCAACAGUGGCGUGGUGUCAUGAAGCAGCGUUCCAGUCACCAGAUUGUGUUUUAUUCCUCUUCUACCACAGCAACCUGCUAACAGCUACAGUCUUUUAUUUAGUCAAGAACAGCACGUCGGGAUUUUUAUUCAAUUACAGCUACAUUUAACGAUGGUUCCUGUUCUCACUUACGUUACAGCAGCUAUAAACCGCCGCUCCCUCACCAGACUCUCUCUCUCUCUC
Molecule: long non-coding RNA, 1037 nt
Organism: Ictalurus punctatus (channel catfish)
Lineage: Eukaryota; Metazoa; Chordata; Actinopteri; Siluriformes; Ictaluridae
Source: Ensembl